AACAUCGCGCACCUGCGGGAACCUGCGGAAGGAUCAUUACAGAGUUGCAAAACUCCCUAAACCAUUGUGGACGUUACCUAAACCGUUGCUUCGGCGGGCGGCCCGGGUCCUUCCCGGCGCCCAUCGGCCCUCGCGGGCGCCCGCCGGAGGUAAACCAAACUAUUGCAUUGUAUGGCCUCUCUGAGUCUUCUGUACUGAAUAAGUCAAAACUUUCAACAACGGAUCUCAGAUCGGAAGAGC
This 240-nucleotide unclassified non-coding RNA is filed under the name soil metagenome. RNAcentral's name for it is "partial contains 5.8S ribosomal RNA, internal transcribed spacer 2, and large subunit ribosomal RNA". The record is from RNAcentral.